CGCCGACUGGUGGGCCCGGCGCAGCGGCGUGCCGGGCGCCGUGGUGCCGGUCGACCGGCACGGGCGGGUCUCCCCCGACGACGUCGUC
RNAcentral lists this transfer RNA (88 nucleotides) under Nocardioides marinisabuli. RNAcentral describes it as "tRNA-Arg(ccg)". Lineage: Bacteria; Bacillati; Actinomycetota; Actinomycetes; Propionibacteriales; Nocardioidaceae. The record is from RNAcentral.